AGAUUGAACCUUAAAUUAAUGAAAAGUUUCUGGAUGAUUCGGAAUUAGUGGUUAAAGAUCAAUCAUACAUGGGUAUAGUCGAUUCUCUAUGGGAUCU
Molecule: ribosomal RNA, 97 nt
Filed under: Chromera velia
Lineage: Eukaryota; Chromeraceae
Description: large subunit ribosomal RNA fragment rnl1
Source: RNAcentral